RNAcentral lists this ribosomal RNA (406 nucleotides) under uncultured bacterium. RNAcentral's name for it is "partial 16S ribosomal RNA". It matches the Rfam family "Bacterial small subunit ribosomal RNA", at positions 30 to 526 of the family's 1533-position model. The record is from RNAcentral.
AUUGAACGCUGGAGGCAGGCCUAACACAUGCAAGUCGCACGAGUGGCGGACGGGUGAGUAAUGUCUGGGAAACUACCUGAGGGAGGGGGAUAACUACUGGGAACGGUAGCUAAUACCGCAUACCAUCAGAUGUUCCCCAAGGGGAUUAGCUUGUUGGUUGCGUAACGGCUCACCCAGGCGACGAUCCCUAGCUGGUCUGAGAGGAUGACCAGCCACACUGGAACUGAGACACGGUCCAGACUCCUACGGGAGGCAGCAGUGGGGAAUAUUGCACAAUGGGCGCAAGCCUGAUGCAGCCAUGCCGCGUGUAUGAAGAAGGCCUUCGGGUUGUAAAGUACUUUCAGCGGGGAGGCGUUACCCGCAGAAGAAGCACCGGCUAACUCCGUGCCAGCAGCCGCGGUAAUUC